AGAUCUUCUUCCGCUCUGAGGCGCUACUGAGGCCGCGGAGCCGGACUGCGGUUGGGGCGGGAAGAGCCGGGGCCGUGGCUGAGAUAGAGCAGCCCUGCUGCUGAGGCCCCGCCCUCCCCACCCUGAGGUGGGGGCCCACCAGGAUGAGCAAGCUGCCUAGGGAGCUGACCCGAGACUUGGAGCGCAGCCUGCCUGCCGUGGCCUCCCUGGGCUCCUCACUGUCCCACAGCCAGAGCCUCUCCUCGCACCUCCUUCCGCCGCCUGAGAAGCGAAGGGCCAUCUCUGAUGUCCGCCGCACCUUCUGUCUCUUCGUCACCUUCGACCUGCUCUUCAUCUCCCUGCUCUGGAUCAUCGAACUGAAUGUUCCUCCAUCCCCUACCUCUUGCCCCUUCCGGGAGGUGAGGGGCAGCCCCAGGCCCUUGCUUCUACCUGCAGAGCUCUUCCUGUCUCCCUCUCACAGACCAACACAGGCAUCCGUAAGAACUUGGAGCAGGAGAUCAUCCAGUACAACUUUAAAACUUCCUUCUUCGACAUCUUCGUCCUGGCCUUCUUCCGCUUCUCU
This 562-nucleotide small RNA is filed under the name Pan troglodytes (chimpanzee). RNAcentral describes it as "processed transcript". The record is from RNAcentral. Lineage: Eukaryota; Metazoa; Chordata; Mammalia; Primates; Hominidae.